This 490-nucleotide ribosomal RNA is filed under the name uncultured bacterium. Its description in RNAcentral is "partial 16S ribosomal RNA". It matches the Rfam family "Bacterial small subunit ribosomal RNA", at positions 30 to 507 of the family's 1533-position model. The record is from RNAcentral.
AUUGAACGCUGGCGGCAUGCCUUACACAUGCAAGUGGAACGGCAGCAUGAUCUAGCUUGCUAGAUUGAUGGCGAGUGGCGAACGGGUGAGUAAUACAUCGGAACGUGCCCUGUAGUGGGGGAUAACUAGUCGAAAGAUUAGCUAAUACCGCAUACGACCUGAGGGUGAAAGUGGGGGACCGCAAGGCCUCAUGCUAUAGGAGCGGCCGAUGUCUGAUUAGCUAGUUGGUGAGGUAAAGGCUCACCAAGGCGACGAUCAGUAGCUGGUCUGAGAGGACGACCAGCCACACUGGGACUGAGACACGGCCCAGACUCCUACGGGAGGCAGCAGUGGGGAAUUUUGGACAAUGGGCGAAAGCCUGAUCCAGCAAUGCCGCGUGUGUGAAGAAGGCCUUCGGGUUGUAAAGCACUUUUGUCCGGAAAGAAAUGGCUCUGGUUAAUACCUGGGGUCGAUGACGGUACCGGAAGAAUAAGGACCGGCUAACUACGUG